RNAcentral lists this ribosomal RNA (126 nucleotides) under Mediterraneibacter gnavus. Its description in RNAcentral is "partial 23S ribosomal RNA". It matches the Rfam family "Bacterial large subunit ribosomal RNA", at positions 2801 to 2925 of the family's 2925-position model. RNAcentral also lists the same sequence under 1 other name. Lineage: Bacteria; Bacillati; Bacillota; Clostridia; Lachnospirales; Lachnospiraceae. The record is from RNAcentral.
AAGAUGAGAUAUCCCAUAACGUCAAGUUAGUAAGACCCCUUGAAGACGACGAGGUAGAUAGGGCAGAGGUGGAAGUGCGGUAACGCAUGGAGCUGACUGUUACUAAUAGGUCGAGGGCAUAACCAA